This 404-nucleotide long non-coding RNA is filed under the name Pongo abelii (Sumatran orangutan). RNAcentral's name for it is "lincRNA". The record is from RNAcentral. Lineage: Eukaryota; Metazoa; Chordata; Mammalia; Primates; Hominidae.
CACGUGGGAAACGUGCGGCGCGACCGCCACAUGUACUGAGGUUGAAUCGUGACGGCCACAGGCUCCGAGUUUUGGCGUGAGGAGACCGCUGAUCGGCUACGGGCGCCGAACUUGCUGGCCUCAGGCAUGUGCCUGAGCGGCGGCGGAAAAACCACCUCAGUUGGGGCGGAGGGAACAAUGGCGCUGUCUUCAGUGGCACAGCGGAGCAGUUCUGUGAAGAUGCAAAGUGAGGGUCGCUGUCUGCCCAUUGAUAGAGGCCAGAUUGUCUUGGAAGUUCCAAAGUUGCAACGAUUUCUGGCUAGUGCCACGAGGUUUACUUGACUGUUGUGUGAAAAGCUGAUAAGAAAACCAUCCAGAAAACAGCUCUUCGUUUUACAAACAUGAAAAUAAAACAUGUAAUUUUG